AUGUGUACAAGAAUGACAUUGAGUCAGAUGAAGAGAUUUGUUGCCAUGUUGCAAAGAUUAACACUUGGGCUAACUUAAUAGUUUGCUCACUUCUAACAGUAAUGCAUGCUAAUACAGGCUUGAUGUUAAAGGUUGGAAUAACCACAUAGCCAUUGUCAAUGAUAGCAAGCAGUAGAAGGCACUUGUGGUCUGAAGCAUAUUUAGCUGGAAUGCUUGUUAAAAUCCAACCAAACAGUGUAGUUGAACUUGUAAUAAACUUCGCUACAGAUAAUGAUGUUGCUGACAAGUCUAAGUACCAAAAGGUGAAAACAAUUGAGGGAAAAUGCAAAGCAU
This 333-nucleotide long non-coding RNA is filed under the name Trifolium pratense (red clover). RNAcentral describes it as "long non-coding RNA (TPRA_LNC011409)". The record is from RNAcentral. Lineage: Eukaryota; Viridiplantae; Streptophyta; Magnoliopsida; Fabales; Fabaceae.